UACGGGGGGAGCAAGCGUUGUUCGGAUUUACUGGGCGUAAAGGGCGCGUAGGCGGCCAGCACAAGUCAGUUGUGAAAUCUCCGAGCUUAACUCGGAAAGGUCAACUGAUACUGUGCGGCUAGAGUGCGGAAGGGGCAACUGGAAUUCUCGGUGUAGCGGUGAAAUGCGUAGAUAUCGAGAGGAACACCUGCGGCGAAGGCGGGUUGCUGGGCUGACACUGACGCUGAGGCGCGAAAGCCAGGGGAGCGAACGGG
This 254-nucleotide ribosomal RNA is filed under the name uncultured bacterium. RNAcentral's name for it is "partial 16S ribosomal RNA". It matches the Rfam family "Bacterial small subunit ribosomal RNA", at positions 524 to 776 of the family's 1533-position model. The record is from RNAcentral.